GACCAUGGUCUCCUUUUUCUAGGGAGGAACACAGAAACCAUUCCUCUGGGUGUGCUUUUCUCUCCCUCCGUAAGAACCCUGAUGACCUGACACUGCAGGAGUUCCUGAAACUGGACAAGGAACGCAUGAGAAACAUGAUUAAAAAUCAAAUUUCUCAGAAAGUGACGGAGUUCAAGGAAGAAUCCAAGCGUGUGCGUCGUGAUAUUGAGAAGCUGGUCUCUUAGGUCUCUGACUUGCAUGUAUGCAGUGUGUCUGACUUGUACAUAUGUUCUCUAGAGCUGUCUGUGCCUGCGUGGUGGUGGUAGUUCUGAUCCCUUUCAUGGAAGGUUCAUGGAAGGAUCAAAGGAAUGUGUACUUAUAAACAAAGGGGGGGAUUUUUAUAAAUCACUUCAGGGAUUUAGGAUUGCAGCUACCAUUGACUUGGAAUGCUUCCGCUUGGCUUUCAAUGAGGUUUGUGUUCCUAAAUCUCUUAGAUCUCCUUUGAAACUCUCACAUUGACACGUCUAAAGGCAACUUAAUCCCCAAUGACUUACUGAACUGCUCAGAUUGAGUAUUGUAUGGUGAAAUGUAACACUCUCCUACAAGAAUAGUUAACAAUUCAUUUUUUUACUUUAAAAUGAGUUAAACAUAGUAAAUGCUGUUUUGGGGUACCACUGUGGAAGUGGUGAAUAAUCCAUUUAAGAUUUCCAACAUCCUCCUAAUCUAAAAGGCACAGUUACUGUCUUGGGCUCAAUCCUGUCGUUUUUACAAGUAUAAGAUACUUUUUGAUAUCAAGAUCACAAGUAGUCAGCCUCUUGCUUGAUUCUAAGCCCUUGGAGUCAGGGUGUGUGUUUUGUAUUUGAAGACUUAAAACAAAAAAAACACAUCCAGCACAUUGGAUAAGAAAGCUACAAUCAAGCUAGGGCCAGACUGAUAUUCUUGGGCUUGGUCAGUUUGUCCAGCAUUCCCUGCCCGAUCUUGCUAGCGAACAUUGAAAUUAUUUCCUCAUUCCCAGUCUUCAGUGCCAAGUCAUAUGCUGAUAGCCCUUUUUCAUUCUUCUUUUUAAUGUUUGCAUUGCAGCUGUAAAUAAAGAAUAAGUUUGUUCAACCUA
Molecule: non-coding RNA, 1090 nt
Organism: Pelodiscus sinensis (Chinese soft-shelled turtle)
Lineage: Eukaryota; Metazoa; Chordata; Testudines; Trionychidae
Source: RefSeq, a predicted model, not a curated record